Molecule: long non-coding RNA, 200 nt
Organism: Capsella rubella
Lineage: Eukaryota; Viridiplantae; Streptophyta; Magnoliopsida; Brassicales; Brassicaceae
Exons: 2
Source: RefSeq, a predicted model, not a curated record
UAAAGGUUUCACAAAAACCAAACAAGAGAGAAAAAAAAAAAUCAACAUGAAGGCCUCAACAUUCUUCAUCGCUGUAUUGGUUAUUGUAUCAUGUGUCGCAAUGAUAGAAAGCAAAGAUUGUGAAAUAAACGACGAUUGCAAAGACUGGCAACCAUGUCCGGUGCCUUUCGCUUGUGUAUUUGGCAACUGCGUUUGUCCAU